GGGCCCGUGGUCUAGCUCGGUUAUGAUGUCGCCUUUACGAGGCGAAGGUCGCCGGUUCAAAUCCGGCCGGGCCCA
Molecule: transfer RNA, 75 nt
Filed under: Candidatus Altarchaeota archaeon
Lineage: Archaea; Nanobdellati; Candidatus Altarchaeota
Description: tRNA-Val
Rfam family: tRNA
About the family: Transfer RNA (tRNA) molecules are approximately 80 nucleotides in length. Their secondary structure includes four short double-helical elements and three loops (D, anti-codon, and T loops). Further hydrogen bonds mediate the characteristic L-shaped molecular structure. tRNAs have two regions of fundamental functional importance: the anti-codon, which is responsible for specific mRNA codon recognition, and the 3' end, to which the tRNAs corresponding amino acid is attached (by aminoacyl-tRNA synthetases). tRNAs cope with the degeneracy of the genetic code in two manners: having more than one tRNA (with a specific anti-codon) for a particular amino acid; and 'wobble' base-pairing, i.e. permitting non-standard base-pairing at the 3rd anti-codon position.
Source: RNAcentral